GGUAAUUCUGGAGCUAAUACACGCAAUAAAGCUCCGACCUUACGGGACGAGCGCAUUUAUUAGACCAAAACCAAUCGGGCUUCGGCCUGAMACGUUGGUGACUCUGAAUAACUGAGCUGAUCGCAUGGUCUUUGUACCGGCGACGCAUCUUUCAAGUGUCUGCCUUAUCAACUUUCGAUGGUAGUUUAUGUGCCUACCAUGGUUGUUACGGGUAKCGGAGAAUAAGGGUUCGACUCCGGAGAGGGAGCCYGAGAAACGGCUACCACAUCCAAGGAAGGCAGCAGGCGCGCAAAUUACCCACUCUCGGCACGAGGAGGUAGUGACGAAAAAUAACGAGGCGGUUCUCUAUGAGGCCCGCUAUCGGAAUGGGUACAAUUUAAACCCUUUAACGAGGACCUAUGAGAGGGCAAGUCUGGUGCCAGCAGCCGCGGUAAUUCCAGCUCUCAAGGUGUAUAUCGCCRUUGCUGCGGUUAAAAAGCUCGUAGUUGGAUCUGCGCCUUCGGACUCGGUCCGCCCAACGGGUGUGAACUGGGAUCCAAGGCUUAUACUGCUGGUUUUCCCUUGAUGCUCUUUACUGGGUGUCUUGGGUGGCUAGCGAGUUUACUUUGAAAAAAUUAGAGUGCUUAACACAGGCUAACGCCUGAAUACUUGUGCAUGGAAUAAUAGAAUAAGACCNCGGUUCUAUUUUAUUGGUUUUCGGAACUGUGAUAAUGGUUAAGAGGGACAGACGGGGGCAUUCGGUAUCGCUGCGUGAGAGGUGAAAUUCUUGGACCGCAGCGAGACGCCCUACUGCGAAAGCAUUUGCCAAGAAUGUCUUCGUUAAUCAAGAACGAAAGUCAGAGGUUCGAAGGCGAUCAGAUACCGCCCUAGUUCUGACCGUAAACGAUGCCAACUAGCGAUCCGCCGGUGGUAAUUACGCCCCGGCGGGGAGCUUCCCGGAAACGAAAGUCUUCCGGUUCCGGGGGAAGUAUGGUUGCAAAGCUGAAACUUAAAGGAAUUGACGGAAGGGCACCACCAGGAGUGGAGCCUGCGGCUUAAUUUGACUCAACACGGGAAAACUCACCCGGCCCGGACACCGUAAGGAUUGACAGAUUGAGAGCUCUUUCUUGAUUCGGUGGUUGGUGGUGCAUGGCCGYUCUUAGUUGGUGGAGYGAUUYGUCUGGUUUAUUCCGAUAACGAACGAGACUCUGGCCUACUAAAUAGAGACAGGAUUAUUACUGUCCUGGAUUCUUCUUAGA
RNAcentral lists this ribosomal RNA (1238 nucleotides) under Plectus cf. pusillus JH-2004. RNAcentral's name for it is "SSU rRNA". It matches the Rfam family "Eukaryotic small subunit ribosomal RNA", at positions 152 to 1434 of the family's 1831-position model. Lineage: Eukaryota; Metazoa; Nematoda; Chromadorea; Plectida; Plectidae. The record is from RNAcentral.